Helianthus annuus (common sunflower) is the source of this 650-nucleotide long non-coding RNA. RefSeq lists it as uncharacterized. The record is from RefSeq and is a predicted model, not a curated record. NCBI's taxonomy places the organism in Eukaryota, Viridiplantae, Streptophyta, Magnoliopsida, Asterales, Asteraceae. The transcript has 4 exons.
CACUUUCACGAGCGGCAAUUGCUAUACAGCUUCACAAAACAAAGCUUCUCUCUCCAAUCAAUUCUGUCAAAAUUAUUCAAUACUUUCCUUUCUCAAAUGUAUUUCUAAUAGAAGAACCCUAAAUGUUACGUAUCAUUCAUCUUAUCUCCAAUCUAUCACCAUAUUCGAUUGAACACUGGCAAUCAAAAUCGAUGAAGGAAACGUGGGGCUGUGGUGGUGCAGAUCUGGCUGGAAAAACGUUUUCAGAUCUCAAAAUCAUGGUGUCAGUGGUGGUGACAGUUGUUUUAUUUCGAUCAAUCUGUCUAUGAUUAUUCAAGCCUAAAUCAUGGAAGGGAUUAUUUAACCCCAAAUCAUAACCGGAGGAUCUGGAUUAGUUUGUGUGUACUGAUUACGUUAUUGGUGUUUAGAGGCUUCGAUAAGUGAUGAUCAAGAACCCUAAUUCUCUGCCCGUCUUCUACAAUAUUGAAUCGUCUCUGAAAUCUCAAAGGGUGUAUUGGUGUUUGAAGUUCUUGAAUCAUGAUUGUCUUUGAAAUCUCAAUUCUGCAAUGAUUUAACACGACCAUUCGAUUUCAGCCUAAUCGGUAUGGUACAGAUAUAGUGUCAUGGAGCAACAACGUGGAUACUGUUUUAAGGUAGACUGUUGUUUUAUG